This 1005-nucleotide long non-coding RNA is filed under the name Cricetulus griseus (Chinese hamster). Its description in RNAcentral is "lncRNA (ENSCGRG00000025652.1)". The record is from RNAcentral. Lineage: Eukaryota; Metazoa; Chordata; Mammalia; Rodentia; Cricetidae.
GUACACUUUUAUAAUUCAAGAGCGGAUGCAAAGAACCUGUCUUACUGUCUAUGCACUGGUUGAGCUUGGUGGCUCAGGGAAGAAGCUCCAGCUUGGCGCUGGCUCUGUCAGAGCCCUGGCCUGGAGCCCAGGUGCAUGGUAAACACUUUGUCAUCUUAGUGGGUUCUUGAUCUUCGACUCUGCUGUGAUUUAGAGGUAAAACCCCUGCCUCUGCCCACAGCCUAACACUCCAACUUGGUUCCUCUCUGCUCCACAUACUAGGAUCAGCAGGCUUAUCUUGGAAAGACUCCUUGGAAAGAUAAGUAAGUUUAUCUUGGAAAGAGUCCAGCAGAGAAUUCCGGCCCUACCCCAACACCCUGAUACAGUAUACACGAGGAGCCAUAACUCCUGAUCCAGGAAUCAUUUCUGCAGCAAUCACCCUGGGUGGCAGAGCUGGCUGUCCAGAUGGCUGGGAUUGUAUUUCAAGAACAUGUCACUUUCUAAAGAGAACUCCAGCUUGUUGUAGAAUUUCUGGUGCACCCCUGCAGCCACUGAGCCUUUGGAGAUGAAGCUUCAAGGCUAGAGGCAACUCUGGAAGCCUGAGCAUGAUUACAUUGUUGAAUAAAACACAGAGACAACAACUUUAAUUAUUAUGAAGAUGCAUCACUCUUAUACAAUAUUCAACAUUAGUUAAAUCCAAUUACAAUCACCCAGCAUCCAGCGAUCUUCUUCAAAGCCAUUUCCACAAGGUAACAAAUGAGCCAUCUUGCAAACUCAUCAAAAGAAAGGAAAAGCCUUCUUGUGGUCAGCUGAGCCUCAAACCUGCUGUCAAGAAGGUAAACUGGAUACUGGAUGGAGGGCCCUGAGGGAGAGGAGGAGGGACAAUCAAGAGCUAGAAGUGAAUACUCCGAAGGUUCUGAGGAGCUGAGAACGGUGGUGCAGGAAGACAUAGAGCAGGAAGACAGCACCAGCUCUGAGCCUGGCCAGCCUGGUCUACAAGUUCUAGGACACCCAAGGCUACUCUGA